AGGGACUUAGGAUUACUCUAGACCAAGGGCCUUCAAAGCCCUAAGAGGGGGUGAAAAUCUCCCAGUCCCUG
This 71-nucleotide transfer RNA is filed under the name Neoachiropsetta milfordi. Its description in RNAcentral is "tRNA-Trp". It matches the Rfam family "tRNA". From Rfam's summary of the family: Transfer RNA (tRNA) molecules are approximately 80 nucleotides in length. The record is from RNAcentral. Lineage: Eukaryota; Metazoa; Chordata; Actinopteri; Pleuronectiformes; Rhombosoleidae.